CUCAAACUUGAGAGGCCCAAUAAGAAACCUCUUUUGCGCGCGUGCAGGUGAUGCUUAAAAAUAUGAAAAAGAGAUGAGGACUUUUAUUUCUUUGUUGUAUAUUAAGCGCAGAUAUUACAUGGUGAAGUCCUUGCUUUGGGCCUCUAGGAUAUUUCAAAACUAAUACCCAUGUUUGGUGCUAUAUAAUAUAUAGUUACAAACUGAACAAAAAAAAAAA
This 217-nucleotide unclassified non-coding RNA is filed under the name Hevea brasiliensis (rubber tree). The record is from RNAcentral. Lineage: Eukaryota; Viridiplantae; Streptophyta; Magnoliopsida; Malpighiales; Euphorbiaceae.